GGAGUUACAGACACAAAGUUUGGAGCUGAGACGAAAAGAUGGACCAUCUAGAGACUUUAAAAAAAAAUAAAAGAGUGUAAACUCUCCUACCCCAGUCAUCUGUUUAUUCAGCGACAGUGAAAAUUUCCUAAUAUCUGUAGUGCUUUCCCAGGGACUGGCAGCAAGGGAGGGGAAAUCUAGAGUUGAACUUGCAGGUAAAGCCAUUCUUCAUUGCUUUAAUAAAUAAAUCCUUUAAGAUAAAUCUGUCAUUCACAGCACAGGAAGAGAGCUGAACUGGAAAUAGCCAAUCCAUAUCUCAUUCUUUUCAAUGGUCAUGGGGCACUGCUAUGUCAGGGUGGGGUCACCCUGCAUCCUUGGUGUGUAGGUCCUCCCAGAUGACUUAAGGAGCCCUUCCCUCACUCUCCAGCUUUCUAAGCUUCCAACCAUGAGCUGUGCCAAUGGCUGGGCAGCUGAUUCCCAGCUCCUUGAAUCCAUGAAGCCCUGGAGGAUUUAAGGUCCUGUGCCCAUUGCUAGUGAUGAUGCUAAUAAUUUGUCAGCAUUUAUUGCUCGCUCAGUGUGUCUGGCCCAGCCGUGGGUAUUUUAUGUGAAUUAGUUCAUGUAAUGUUUUCAAACCCCAUUGAGCUGAUCAGUGACUCUUGUCCCACUUUGGGAUGAAAGUGUAGGGCUCUGAGCUAGACGUGGGGAGUUUUUCCUUGGAACUAGUUUUCCUUUCUAGAAAAUACAUGUAAUGUAAAGUUUACCACCUUAAGGAUGUGUGUGUGUGUGUGUGUGUGUGUGUGUGUGUGUGUGUGUGUCUGUCUGUCUGUCUGUCUGUCUGUCUGGGGUGGGUGCAUCUGGAAACAUGUGCAUAGACCAGAGAUGCCAUGGAGUAGAAAGUCUUCUCGUGACACUCUGGUCUUAGUCCUUGGGGAAGGAUCCCAUGCCCUGAAGCCAGAGCUCAGGUGUUCUUAACUAGACUGGAAGCCAGUGAGCUCCAAAGACCCUCCAGGGUCCAUGCCCCUUGGAGCUGGUGCUGUGGCCAUUUUCUAGAACCCUGGCUUGAUAUGUGUGCUGGGAUCCCAACUCCAGUCUUUAGGAUUGCAGUGCAAGCUUCACUCUGCCAAGAUCUCUCCAGCCCACACCAGCCCACCAUUUCCUUCCAAUGUUUUCGCAAAGAUUGUGGUUUUUGUUUAUUGGUGUGUGUGUGUGUGUGUGUGUGUGUGUGUGUGUGUGUGUGUGCGCACAUGUGCAUUUGUGGGACUGCUUAUUACAAGGUGCUGGAAGUGAACUGCAGUCCACAUGAUUAAGCACUAAGUCAUCUCCCCAGCACCGCCCUGGCCAUCUUUAAGUGGCAUUAAGUACAGACACAAGGCUGUGUUCUCUUCAUUGCCACCCGUUACAGAACUCCUUGAAAAACACUAACCACUAGCAACAGUUGCUCUUCCCUGGGCCCUGGCUGUCCACUCUGUCUGUCCAGAGGCCACACUUCUGUCUUUGAAGGCGUGAGUGGACUAUUUGUGUCUAAUUGUGUGGCACUUCUUCCACCUACCACCUCCACCACAGCUCCCUUCCUCCAUAUUGACACUAAUGUAAAUGUCAGUGAUGGUUGUAAGGUGUACCAGCCUCUAGAAGGUGAGAUUAUCAGCCUCUAUCCCUGUCCCCUGGACUUGUUAGGUAUAUAUUGGCUAAUAUAUUUAUUUUUAAAAUUAAAUUGUAAUUAUACCAUUUUCCCCUUCCCUUUCCUCCCAUGUCCCUCCCAUGCAACCCAUCCUUGUUUUCUUUCAAGUUUAUCUAUUUAUCAUCUCUCUCUCUCUCUCUCUCUCUCUCUCUCUCUCUCUCUCUCUCUCUCUUUCCCUCUCUCUCUCCCUCUCUCUCCCCUCUCUCUCUUGCUUCUGAUAAGAAGUGCAAUAUGCAUUCUUUUUAGGAAACGUGCACACUAAGUAAGCAGUAAAUGUCAGCUCUUACAGUUUAGCAAAACUAAGUACAAUAUCUCUCCCUUCUCCAAAGGUUGUGUCAGAAGGCCAUACACAAAAGUAUGCUAAUAUCCCAUAAAUAAAAUAAAUACAUUUAAAUAAAUUUAGCCUGCUGCAACAGAGAAAUCUUGAGUCGGGGCCGGGGAAGCCAUUCUUGGGCAUGGAAAGGUGGCUAAGUAAGAGCAUGGCUACUCCUGCAGAUGACCUGGGCUUGGUUCCUAGAACCCCCAUGGUUGCUCAAAAACAUCCUUACCUCUAGUUCUGGUUCUGGAGGAUCUGAUGCCCUCUUUUGGCUCUGUGGGCCUCAGGAAUGCAUCUGGUAAGCAUAAAUACAUGUAGGCAAAACAACACAUGCACAUAUAUUUAAAAAUAAAAGGCAUGCUUAAAAUGUACCAAUAAAACAACACAUGCACAUAUAUUUAAAAAAGCAUGGUUAAAAUAUACCAUUGGUACUUAACAUUCCUUAAGUUUGUUUCAUAAUUUUAUAUAUAAUCAUAUAUUUUAUUAAUAUUUAUUUUUACUUAAUUAUAUUCAGAUAUAGAAUAAUUGUUAUCUAAUUGUAUAUAUUUAUAUUUGCACAUUUGUAUUUCAUUGUAUAAUUUUAUGUAAAUAAAAUGUAUUUUCAAUGUAAGAAUUCAAAUAAAUUGAUAUGAUUUCCAUGAGCUCAAAAGAAUUUAUUUAAGACUUCUACACCACUAGCUAAAGAUAGCCAUUGUUGUUUUCUUGGUGUUCCAGCCUUGUAGUAUGUCUGUGCAAAUAUAUAUGUAACAAAAUUAAACUACAUUUCUUUCA
Molecule: long non-coding RNA, 2744 nt
Organism: Mus musculus (house mouse)
Lineage: Eukaryota; Metazoa; Chordata; Mammalia; Rodentia; Muridae
Product: predicted gene, 52343
Exons: 2
Source: RefSeq, a predicted model, not a curated record